GACGAACGCUGGCGGCGUGCCUAAUACAUGCAAGUAGAACGCUGAAGAGAGGAGCUUGCUCUUCUUGGAUGAGUUGCGAACGGGUGAGUAACGCGUAGGUAACCUGCCUUGUAGCGGGGGAUAACUAUUGGAAACGAUAGCUAAUACCGCAUAACAAUGGAUGACACAUGUCAUUUAUUUGAAAGGGGCAAUUGCUCCACUACAAGAUGGACCUGCGUUGUUUUAGCUAGUAGGUGAGGUAAUGGCUCACCUAGGCGACGAUACAUAGCCGACCUGAGGGGGUGAUCGGCCACACUGGGACUGAGACACGGCCCAGACUCCUACGGGAGGCAGCAGUAGGGAAUCUUCGGCAAUGGGGGCAACCCUGACCGAGCAACGCCGCGUGAGUGAAGAAGGUUUUCGGAUCGUAAAGCUCUGUUGUAAGUCAAGAACGGGUGUGAGAGUGGAAAGUUCACACUGUGACGGUAGCUUACCAGAAAGGGACGGCUAACUACGUG
This 497-nucleotide ribosomal RNA is filed under the name uncultured bacterium. RNAcentral's name for it is "partial 16S ribosomal RNA". It matches the Rfam family "Bacterial small subunit ribosomal RNA", at positions 28 to 507 of the family's 1533-position model. The record is from RNAcentral.